RNAcentral lists this unclassified non-coding RNA (138 nucleotides) under Zunongwangia mangrovi. RNAcentral's name for it is "Flavo-1 RNA". Lineage: Bacteria; Pseudomonadati; Bacteroidota; Flavobacteriia; Flavobacteriales; Flavobacteriaceae. The record is from RNAcentral.
UAAAAGGCGUUAGGGAUAGAAACGGCAUCCUUGGCGCUUGUCUUCGUCUUAAACCAUGAAUUUCUUAGCGAAAUUACACUCACUUAUAAAACUCUUCUAAGAAAAACCGCCAAGAUAUAGUGGAUAGCCCGGUCACUA